UUGUCAUGCCAAUGGCACUGCCCGGUAGCUAAAUGCGGAAGAGAUAAGUGCUGAAAGCAUCUAAGCACGAAACUUGCCCCGAGAUGAGUUCUCCCUGACUCCUUGAGAGUCCUGAAGGAACGUUGAAGACGACGACGUUGAUAGGCCGGGUGUGUAAGCGCAGCGAUGCGUUGAGCUAACCGGUACUAAUGAACCGUGAGGCUUAAC
RNAcentral lists this ribosomal RNA (207 nucleotides) under Escherichia coli. RNAcentral's name for it is "partial 23S ribosomal RNA". It matches the Rfam family "Bacterial large subunit ribosomal RNA", at positions 2721 to 2925 of the family's 2925-position model. Lineage: Bacteria; Pseudomonadati; Pseudomonadota; Gammaproteobacteria; Enterobacterales; Enterobacteriaceae. The record is from RNAcentral.